This 334-nucleotide ribosomal RNA is filed under the name uncultured eukaryote. Its description in RNAcentral is "partial 18S ribosomal RNA". It matches the Rfam family "Eukaryotic small subunit ribosomal RNA", at positions 1470 to 1796 of the family's 1831-position model. The record is from RNAcentral.
CCCUUAGAUGUCCGGGGCCGCACGCGCGCUACACUGAAGGAAUCAGCGUGGCUUUCUCCCUGACCCGAAAGGGUUGGGAAACCCGUUGAAUCUCCUUCGUGAUAGGGAUUGGGGCUUGAAAUUGUUCCCCAUGAACGAGGAAUUCCCAGUAAGCGCGAGUCAUAAGCUCGCGUUGAUUACGUCCCUGCCCUUUGUACACACCGCCCGUCGCUACUACCGAUUGAACGGUUUAGUGAGGGCCUCGGAUUGGCCUCGGCCCGCUCUUUACCGGGCGGCGCCGUUGGUCGAGAAGACGCUCGAACUUGAUCGUUUAGAGGAAGUAAAAGUCGUAACA